AUGAACGCUGGCGGCGUGCCUAAUCCAUGCAAGUCGAGCGAACGGACGAGAAGCUUGCUUCUCUGAUGUUAGCGGCGACGGGUGAGUAACACGUGGAUAACCCACCUAUAAGACUGGGAUAACUUCGGGAAACCGGAGCUAAUACCGGGUGAUAUUUUGAACCGCAUGGUUCAAAAGUGAAAGACGGUCUUGCUGUCACUUAUAGAUGGAUCCGCGCUGCAUUAGCUAGUUGGUAAGGUAACGGCUUACCAAGGCAACGAUGCAUAGCCGACCUGAGAGGGUGAUCGGCCACACUGGAACUGAGACACGGUCCAGACUCCUACGGGAGGCAGCAGUAGGGAAUCUUCCGCAAUGGGCGAAAGCCUGACGGAGCAACGCCGCGUGAGUGAUGAAGGUCUUCGGAUCGUAAAACUCUGUUAUUAGGGAAGAACAUAUGUGUAAGUAACUGUGCACAUCUUGACGGUACCUAAUCAGAAAGCCACGGCUAACUACGUG
This 495-nucleotide ribosomal RNA is filed under the name uncultured bacterium. RNAcentral's name for it is "partial 16S ribosomal RNA". It matches the Rfam family "Bacterial small subunit ribosomal RNA", at positions 29 to 507 of the family's 1533-position model. The record is from RNAcentral.